ACGCUGGCGGCAGGCCUAACACAUGCAAGUCGAGCGGUAGAGAGAAGCUUGCUUCUCUUGAGAGCGGCGGACGGGUGAGUAAUGCCUAGGAAUCUGCCUGGUAGUGGGGGAUAACGUUCGGAAACGGACGCUAAUACCGCAUACGUCCUACGGGAGAAAGCAGGGGACCUUCGGGCCUUGCGCUAUCAGAUGAGCCUAGGUCGGAUUAGCUAGUUGGUGGGGUAAUGGCUCACCAAGGCGACGAUCCGUAACUGGUCUGAGAGGAUGAUCAGUCACACUGGAACUGAGACACGGUCCAGACUCCUACGGGAGGCAGCAGUGGGGAAUAUUGGACAAUGGGCGAAAGCCUGAUCCAGCCAUGCCGCGUGUGUGAAGAAGGUCUUCGGAUUGUAAAGCACUUUAAGUUGGGAGGAAGGGUUGUAGAUUAAUACUCUGCAAUUUUGACGUUACCGACAGAAUAAGCACCGGCUAACUCUGUGCCAGCAGCCGCGGUAAUACAGAGGGUGCAAGCGUUAAUCGGAAUUACUGGGCGUAAAGCGCGCGUAGGUGGUUUGUUAAGUUGGAUGUGAAAUCCCCGGGCUCAACCUGGGAACUGCAUUCAAACUGACUGACUAGAGUAUGGUAGAGGGUGGUGGAAUUUCCUGUGUAGCGGUGAA
RNAcentral lists this ribosomal RNA (656 nucleotides) under uncultured bacterium. RNAcentral's name for it is "bacterial SSU rRNA". It matches the Rfam family "Bacterial small subunit ribosomal RNA", at positions 33 to 685 of the family's 1533-position model. The record is from RNAcentral.